This 482-nucleotide ribosomal RNA is filed under the name uncultured bacterium. Its description in RNAcentral is "bacterial SSU rRNA". It matches the Rfam family "Bacterial small subunit ribosomal RNA", at positions 30 to 506 of the family's 1533-position model. The record is from RNAcentral.
UUGAACGCUGGCGGAAUGCUUUACACAUGCAAGUCGAACGGCAGCACGGGGGCAACCCUGGUGGCGAGUGGCGAACGGGUGAGUAAUACAUCGGAACGUGCCCAGUCGUGGGGGAUAACGUAGCGAAAGCUACGCUAAUACCGCAUACGAUCUCUGGAUGAAAGCGGGGGACCGCAAGGCCUCGCGCGAUUGGAGCGGCCGAUGGCAGAUUAGGUAGUUGGUGGGGUAAAGGCUCACCAAGCCGACGAUCUGUAGCUGGUCUGAGAGGACGACCAGCCACACUGGGACUGAGACACGGCCCAGACUCCUACGGGAGGCAGCAGUGGGGAAUUUUGGACAAUGGGCGAAAGCCUGAUCCAGCCAUUCCGCGUGCAGGAUGAAGGCCCUCGGGUUGUAAACUGCUUUUGUACGGAACGAAACGCGUUGAGCUAAUACCUUGACGUAAUGACGGUACCGUAAGAAUAAGCACCGGCUAACUACGU